Molecule: ribosomal RNA, 641 nt
Filed under: Eisenia balatonica
Lineage: Eukaryota; Metazoa; Annelida; Clitellata; Crassiclitellata; Lumbricidae
Description: partial 16S ribosomal RNA
Source: RNAcentral
AUUAUAAUAUAUCUUUUAAAUCACUAUCUAUAAAAAUAAUAUAAAAUUUACUCAUAAAUAGUAUUAAAAUAAAAGUACUGAAAAGGAAAUAAAAAUAAUUUACAGUAGUGAAACUCACGUACCUUGUGCAUUAUGGUUUUACAAGCUAAUAAUUAACAAUAAACUCCCGAAUUCUAUGCGAGCUGUCCAAGUAUAGUUAAGAACUCACCACUAAUUAUAGCAUCAACUUUGGAAAAUACUUUGACAGGGGCUACAUACCAAUCGCGCUAGAAUAUUGCUGGUUUUCAAUAAAAUCUAAGAAUAGAGCAUGUAAUCAUACUACAAUGUAAAACUACAGAGGAUAAGCCCUGUAAUCAAAGCUAACUUCUAAAUAAAAUUUAAAUAGGCUUAAAAUCAGCCAAUAAAAAUACGUUACUGUAUUACGCACAAAAUUAAUCUAAGGCUAUGCAACAAAAAAUUGAAAUAUACGAAUAACUUUAAAUCUUAAAAUAAUCUGUAAAAAUAAGUAUUAGAAAAUAAAAUCCUAUUUAACCAAAAUUCCUAACACCCUCAAAACCACUUAUAAAGGAACUCGGCAAAUAUAAUUUCGACUGUUUAACAAAAACAUUGCUUCUUGCAUCCAUAAUAAGAAGUAAUCCUGC